AGGCGCGAAAACUUUACAAUGCAGGAAACUGUGAUAAGGGAACCCCGAGUGCCCGUAUACGCGGGCUGUCCAGGUGUUUAAANNNCAUCUGAAGAAAGGGCCGGGCAAGACCGGUGCCAGCCGCCGCGGUAAUACCGGCGGCUCGAGUGGUGGCCACUUUUAUUGGGCUUAAAGCGUUCGUAGCUUGGUUGUUAAGUCUCUUGGGAAAUCUCACGGCUUAACCGUGAGGCGUCUAAGGGAUACUGGCAACCUAGGGACCGGAAGAGGUGAGAGGUACUCCAGGGGUAGGAGUGAAAUCCUGUAAUCCUUGGGGGACCACCUGUGGCGAAGGCGUCUCACCAGGACGGCNCCGACAGUGAGGGACGAAAGCUGGGGGAGCAAACCGGAUUAGAUACCCGGGUAGUCCCAGCCGUAAACGAUGCGCGUUAGGUGUAUCGGUGACCACGAGUCACNNA
RNAcentral lists this ribosomal RNA (455 nucleotides) under uncultured archaeon. RNAcentral describes it as "bacterial SSU rRNA". It matches the Rfam family "Archaeal small subunit ribosomal RNA", at positions 337 to 796 of the family's 1478-position model. The record is from RNAcentral.